UUUCUUCCUGGAAGGAAAAAGUCGUAACAAGGUUUCCGUAGGUGAACCUGCGGAAGGAUCAUUACAGUAUUCUUUUGCCAGCGCUUAACUGCGCGGCGAAAAACCUUACACACAGUGUCUUUUUGAUACAGAACUCUUGCUUUGGUUUGGCCUAGAGAUAGGUUGGGCCAGAGGUUUAACAAAACACAAUUUAAUUAUUUUUACAGUUAGUCAAAUUUUGAAUUAAUCUUCAAAACUUUCAACAACGGAUCUCUUGGUUCUCGCAUCGAUGAAGAACGCAGCGAAAUGCGAUAAGUAAUAUGAAUUGCAGAUUUUCGUGAAUCAUCGAAUCUUUGAACGCACAUUGCGCCCUCUGGUAUUCCAGAGGGCAUGCCUGUUUGAGCGUCAUUUCUCUCUCAAACCCCCGGGUUUGGUAUUGAGUGAUACUCUUAGUCGGACUAGGCGUUUGCUUGAAAAGUAUUGGCAUGGGUAGUACUAGAUAGUGCUGUCGACCUCUCAAUGUAUUAGGUUUAUCCAACUCGUUGAAUGGUGUGGCGGGAUAUUUCUGGUAUUGUUGGCCCGGCCUUACAACAACCAAACAAGUUUGACCUCAAAUCAGGCAGGAAUACCCGCUGAACUUAAGCAUAUCAAUAUCCCGCAUCGAAGGAA
Molecule: ribosomal RNA, 648 nt
Filed under: Meyerozyma guilliermondii
Lineage: Eukaryota; Fungi; Ascomycota; Pichiomycetes; Serinales; Debaryomycetaceae
Description: eukaryotic LSU rRNA
Rfam family: 5.8S ribosomal RNA (bases 234-387)
Source: RNAcentral